UUCGCCCUUUUCCGGUUGAUCCCGCCGGAGGCCACUGCUAUCGGAGUUCGAUUAAGCCGUGCGAGUUGAGAGGUGCAAGACCUCGGCAUACUGCUCAGUAACACGUGGACGACCUACCCUAAGGAGGGGGAUAACCCCGGGAAACUGGGGAUAAUACCCCAUAGACUAUGGAUGCUGGAAUGCUUUGUAGUCGAAAGGUCCGCCGCCUUAGGAUGGGUCUGCGGCCGAUUAGGUUGUUGUUGGGGUAACGGCCCAACAAGCCUGUAAUCGGUACGGGUUGUGGGAGCAAGAGCCCGGAGAUGGAUUCUGAGACACGAAUCCAGGCCCUACGGGGCGCAGCAGGCGCGAAAACUUUACAAUGCGGGAAACCGUGAUAAGGGAACUCCGAGUGCCCGUUAAAUCGGGCUGUCCACCAGUUUAAAUAACUGGUGAAGAAAGGGCCGGGCAAGACCGGUGCCAGCCGCCGCGGUAAUACCGGCGGCUCGAGUGGUGGCCACUAUUACUGGGCUUAAAGCGUUCGUAGCUGGUUUGUUAAGUCUCUGGGGAAAUCUACCG
This 555-nucleotide ribosomal RNA is filed under the name uncultured archaeon. RNAcentral describes it as "bacterial SSU rRNA". It matches the Rfam family "Archaeal small subunit ribosomal RNA", at positions 1 to 556 of the family's 1478-position model. The record is from RNAcentral.